This 1409-nucleotide ribosomal RNA is filed under the name Lactiplantibacillus plantarum. RNAcentral describes it as "bacterial SSU rRNA". It matches the Rfam family "Bacterial small subunit ribosomal RNA", at positions 62 to 1437 of the family's 1533-position model. Lineage: Bacteria; Bacillati; Bacillota; Bacilli; Lactobacillales; Lactobacillaceae. The record is from RNAcentral. RNAcentral also lists the same sequence under 1 other name.
UCGAACGAACUCUGGUAUUGAUUGGUGCUUGCAUCAUGAUUUACAUUUGAGUGAGUGGCGAACUGGUGAGUAACACGUGGGAAACCUGCCCAGAAGCGGGGGAUAACACCUGGAAACAGAUGCUAAUACCGCAUAACAACUUGGACCGCAUGGUCCGAGUUUGAAAGAUGGCUUCGGCUAUCACUUUUGGAUGGUCCCGCGGCGUAUUAGCUAGAUGGUGGGGUAACGGCUCACCAUGGCAAUGAUACGUAGCCGACCUGAGAGGGUAAUCGGCCACAUUGGGACUGAGACACGGCCCAAACUCCUACGGGAGGCAGCAGUAGGGAAUCUUCCACAAUGGACGAAAGUCUGAUGGAGCAACGCCGCGUGAGUGAAGAAGGGUUUCGGCUCGUAAAACUCUGUUGUUAAAGAAGAACAUAUCUGAGAGUAACUGUUCAGGUAUUGACGGUAUUUAACCAGAAAGCCACGGCUAACUACGUGCCAGCAGCCGCGGUAAUACGUAGGUGGCAAGCGUUGUCCGGAUUUAUUGGGCGUAAAGCGAGCGCAGGCGGUUUUUUAAGUCUGAUGUGAAAGCCUUCGGCUCAACCGAAGAAGUGCAUCGGAAACUGGGAAACUUGAGUGCAGAAGAGGACAGUGGAACUCCAUGUGUAGCGGUGAAAUGCGUAGAUAUAUGGAAGAACACCAGUGGCGAAGGCGGCUGUCUGGUCUGUAACUGACGCUGAGGCUCGAAAGUAUGGGUAGCAAACAGGAUUAGAUACCCUGGUAGUCCAUACCGUAAACGAUGAAUGCUAAGUGUUGGAGGGUUUCCGCCCUUCAGUGCUGCAGCUAACGCAUUAAGCAUUCCGCCUGGGGAGUACGGCCGCAAGGCUGAAACUCAAAGGAAUUGACGGGGGCCCGCACAAGCGGUGGAGCAUGUGGUUUAAUUCGAAGCUACGCGAAGAACCUUACCAGGUCUUGACAUACUAUGCAAAUCUAAGAGAUUAGACGUUCCCUUCGGGGACAUGGAUACAGGUGGUGCAUGGUUGUCGUCAGCUCGUGUCGUGAGAUGUUGGGUUAAGUCCCGCAACGAGCGCAACCCUUAUUAUCAGUUGCCAGCAUUAAGUUGGGCACUCUGGUGAGACUGCCGGUGACAAACCGGAGGAAGGUGGGGAUGACGUCAAAUCAUCAUGCCCCUUAUGACCUGGGCUACACACGUGCUACAAUGGAUGGUACAACGAGUUGCGAACUCGCGAGAGUAAGCUAAUCUCUUAAAGCCAUUCUCAGUUCGGAUUGUAGGCUGCAACUCGCCUACAUGAAGUCGGAAUCGCUAGUAAUCGCGGAUCAGCAUGCCGCGGUGAAUACGUUCCCGGGCCUUGUACACACCGCCCGUCACACCAUGAGAGUUUGUAACACCCAAAGUCGGUGGGGUA